This 163-nucleotide ribosomal RNA is filed under the name uncultured Labrenzia sp. RNAcentral describes it as "partial 16S ribosomal RNA". It matches the Rfam family "Bacterial small subunit ribosomal RNA", at positions 345 to 525 of the family's 1533-position model. The record is from RNAcentral. Lineage: Bacteria; Pseudomonadati; Pseudomonadota; Alphaproteobacteria; Hyphomicrobiales; Stappiaceae.
UAGGCAGCAGUGGGGAAUAUUGGACAAUGGGCGCAAGCCUGAUCCAGCCAUGCCGCGUGAGUGAUGAAGGCCCUAGGGUUGUAAAGCUCUUUCAGCGAGGAGGAUAAUGACGUUACUCGCAGAAGAAGCCCCGGCUAACUUCGUGCCAGCAGCCGCGGUAAUA